AAACUUUCAACAACGGAUCUCUUGGCUCUCGCAUCGAUGAAGAACGCAGCGAAAUGCGAUAAGUAAUGUGAAUUGCAGAAUUCCGUGAAUCAUUAAAUCUUUGAACGCAAAUUGCACUCCUUGGUAUUCCGAGGAGUACACUUGCUUGAGGGUCAGUUAA
RNAcentral lists this ribosomal RNA (160 nucleotides) under uncultured Gigasporaceae. RNAcentral describes it as "5.8S ribosomal RNA". It matches the Rfam family "5.8S ribosomal RNA". Rfam says of the family: 5.8S ribosomal RNA (5.8S rRNA) is a component of the large subunit of the eukaryotic ribosome. Lineage: Eukaryota; Fungi; Glomeromycota; Glomeromycetes; Diversisporales; Gigasporaceae. The record is from RNAcentral.